Dermochelys coriacea (leatherback sea turtle) is the source of this 1091-nucleotide long non-coding RNA. RefSeq lists it as uncharacterized. Lineage: Eukaryota; Metazoa; Chordata; Testudines; Dermochelyidae. The record is from RefSeq and is a predicted model, not a curated record. The transcript has 3 exons.
CCUUCCCAGGGCAGCAGCAACCUUAUUGAUCAGGGUUCUUCAGGUAGUGCCCUGUCACAACAACAUUUUAUGAUCCAGUCAAUCAACUUGCAGGGGUUACCCUUGCAAUGAGAUAGGCCAAACCAGCAACAUGUAUGCGAACCCCUUCAAAUUCUGACAUUCUUUGAACUCAAAUCCUAGGAUUGCACCCAGCCAGUUUUGGUUCUGGGUAAAUUAUAAAUCUGAGAGAAGAUUUAUUUUCAUAUGUGUCCAAAAUCUUUCAAAUGACAGCUGAUUUUACAGCUAUGACUCAAGAGAUUGGCUGAUUUUGCAAGAUUUCAUCCAUCUGAGAAUGAAAUUUUAUGAGAAAAGCUCAAAUCUGAAUGCAAACCCUAGCUCUUAUUCAGCACUGAAUCUAUGCCUAAACCUAAUUUCUGAGAUCCAUGAGCCUGAGAAGUGAAAUCCAAGAAAUUAUUUUCAUUCUUGGACUCUCUGAACCCUCAGCACACAAUCCUUCCCACCAAGACACUGAGACAUGAUAGAGAUUGAACUAUCUCCUUUCUGCAAACAAAACACCCUCUAUAAGAAGUUCCUCCAGGUCAUCUCUAGGGCAGUACAGAUGGGUACUCACUGAGGCUGUGUAUAUCAGAAAGGAACUAUGUUAGUUCUAUCAAAACCCCAGAAAGGAUGAGCAUCCAGAGAAACUCAGCUGGACAGAUGAGAAUCCUUCCCCUUCAAAGUGCUACUAAGCACCCCCACAUAAGUGCCUGGAACCGGAGUGAGUAUACAACACCAUAAAAACCCAAGUGAGUGCUGCUGAAGGACCAGAACCCAGCCACGGCCACUUCAUGUUAAUUUGCAACCUCUGCAAUUACAGAGCAAUUUACUUGUUUUACAGUAGAUGCAGCAGAAAUACUUUUCUUGAGGUGAAUAAAUAGCGGAGUAUGCCUGCAGAGAGAUAAUAUUUUACAGUGGAUAGUUGACUAAUACAUUUUUUAUUUGCUGUCUAAUAGAGAGCCAUUAAUUUUCUCUCUGGCCAGUUCUAAUAUUAAGUGUAUAUGUGUGCGGUGGGUGGUCAGGAGAGACAACAGUUGAUUAUUACAUAGACAUAU